UGAGGAAUAUUGCGCAAUGGGGGAAACCCUGACGCAGCAAUGCCGCGUGAGCGAUGAAGCCUUUUGGGGUGUAAAGCUCUGUCAAGAGGGAAGAUUAUGACGGUACCUCUAGAGGAAGUCACGGCUAAUUACGUGCCAGCAGCCGCGGUAAUACGUAAGUGGCAAGCGUUAUCCGGAUUUACUGGGCAUAAAGAGCACGCAGGCGGUUUGUUAAGUCAGGUGUAAAAGGCUACAGCUCAACUGUAGUACACACUUGAUACUGGCAUACUAGAGAACAGAAGAGGAAAGUGGAACACACGGUGUAGCGGUGAAAUGCGUAGAUAUCGUGAGGAACACCAGUUGCGAAGGCGGCUUUCUGGGCUGAUUCUGACGCUGAGGUGCGAAAGCGUGGGGAGCAAACGGG
Molecule: ribosomal RNA, 403 nt
Filed under: uncultured bacterium
Lineage: Bacteria
Description: bacterial SSU rRNA
Rfam family: Bacterial small subunit ribosomal RNA
Source: RNAcentral